GGGGAAUCUUCCACAAUGGGCGAAAGCCUGAUGGAGCAACGCCGCGUGAGUGAUGAAGGCCUUCGGGUUGUAAAGCUCUGUUAUUCGGGACGAAAGAGCGCAUGGCUAAUAUCCAUGCGAAGUGACGGUACCGAAAGAGAAAGCCACGGCUAACUACGUGCCAGCAGCCGCGGUAAUACGUAGGUGGCAAGCGUUGUCCGGAAUUAUUGGGCGUAAAGCGCGCGCAGGCGGCCUUUUAAGUCCAUCUUAAAAGCGUGGGGCUCAACCCCAUGAGGGGAUGGAAACUGGGAGGCUGGAGUAUCGGAGAGGAAAGCGGAAUUCCUAGUGUAGCGGUGAAAUGCGUAGAGAUUAGGAAGAACACCAGUGGCGAAGGCGGCUUUCUGGACGACAACUGACGCUGAGGCGCGAAAGCGUGGGGAGCAAAC
This 425-nucleotide ribosomal RNA is filed under the name uncultured bacterium. Its description in RNAcentral is "bacterial SSU rRNA". It matches the Rfam family "Bacterial small subunit ribosomal RNA", at positions 356 to 773 of the family's 1533-position model. The record is from RNAcentral.